UUGUAAGCCACAGUCACGCUUCACUGAUCGUCUCAUCGGUUUAUUAAAUAUACCAGUGCUCCAUUUCCUGUUUGAUCAGUGAAAUACUAGUUCUUUCCAUCACUUCCAAGUGAAGUUUUCUGAGUAUCUACCAUAGUCCCGCCUGCCCUGCCUGCCCAACCUGCUCUCCGGACCCGUCCUUCUCGUUCCUCCCGUCUUGUCGUUGCUCCGUCCCGUCAUUCUUCGUAGGACUGGCCUCUCCGAAGCCCGACCCCUGGCAUCCGUCACGACCACUCUUUUGAAUUCUCCCCUUGGCUACAGGUGUACCCGAUUCCCUAAAGUCCCGUUCUCCCGCAUUCUAGGGUCUGCCUCUUCUCUGUUUGCCUGGUUUCACAAUUAGGGCUUAUGCUUAUGUAAGAACAAUAUUAAACAUGACCUAACAGGA
This is a non-coding RNA of Paramormyrops kingsleyae, 424 nucleotides long. The record is from RefSeq and is a predicted model, not a curated record. NCBI's taxonomy places the organism in Eukaryota, Metazoa, Chordata, Actinopteri, Osteoglossiformes, Mormyridae.